This 72-nucleotide transfer RNA is filed under the name Candidatus Omnitrophota bacterium. RNAcentral's name for it is "tRNA-Thr". It matches the Rfam family "tRNA". From Rfam's summary of the family: Transfer RNA (tRNA) molecules are approximately 80 nucleotides in length. Their secondary structure includes four short double-helical elements and three loops (D, anti-codon, and T loops). Lineage: Bacteria; Pseudomonadati; Candidatus Omnitrophota. The record is from RNAcentral.
GCCGAUGUAGCUCAAUGGUAGAGCAAGUGUUUCGUAAACACUAGGUUGAGGGUUCAAAUCCCUCCGUCGGCU